This is a non-coding RNA of Arachis ipaensis, 1170 nucleotides long. The record is from RefSeq and is a predicted model, not a curated record. NCBI's taxonomy places the organism in Eukaryota, Viridiplantae, Streptophyta, Magnoliopsida, Fabales, Fabaceae.
UCUGGUAUAUGUCUUCUCUUGAAAUCUCCAGGGCUAUAAUUGUUCUUUAUUCCCAUCCAAUUUGAAUUCCCUGUUUCGCUGUAACUAUCAUUACUGUUGUGGAAUUGUCGCCGUUGCGAGCAUGAUUAGAGAUAGUGCCAGAUUCAGAUUUGCGUGGGAAUUGCCACUGCUGUAAGUCAAAAGGAAAAGCCGCUCACAGCGUUUAAUCUUACGAGUUUCGACAUCGAGUGACACAGGUUUGAAGAUGCAAUAUGAAGCUGCAAGUGAUCAAAAGGGAAAGAAAGGGAACGGGGAGCUCGAGGGGGAAACAGAAGGGAAGAAAGAAGGAAACGAAGAAAGAGGGAGAGGGUGAGGGAACAGAGGAAGAAGAGAGGAAUGAGGAUCACUGCGCCGUGCUGCUCCCUGCGCCGGUUGCCGUCGCUGUCGCCAGAGCCAGAGGACAGAGAGAGAACGCUCGCAAGGGAAAGGACAAACGUGAGGAGAAGGAGAGCUCGUGCGCGAAGGACAGCGCCGCUACUCCGUCGCUGCGCAGCUGUUGCGGCCACCCCGUCACCAUCGUUGUCGCGGCUGAAAGCAUAAAGUUCGAACAGAGGGAGAGAAACCGCGAGUGAAAGGUGACACUGGGCCUCUGUCGCUGCUUCUAUCACCAAGUGUCGUUGUCGUUGCCGCCGAAGGCCAAGGCCCUAUCGUUGUCAUCGAUUCUGCCCGGAGCCGCCACCAACUUGUCACUGCGAGUUAGUUACUCUGCCAUCGCUGAAUUUGCCGUGUUGAGACUGAAACUGCCACUUUGACUCUGGGCUGUAAUUGUUCUUUAUUCCCAUCCAAUUUGAAUUCCCUGUUUCGCUGUAACUAUCAUUACUGUUGUGGAAUUGUCGCCGUUGUGAGCAUGAUCAGAGAUAGUGCCAGAUUCGGAUUUGCGUGAGAAUUGCCACUGCUGUGAGUCAAAAGGAAAAGCCGCUCACAGCGUUUAAUCUUACGAGUUUCGACAUCGAGUGACACAGGUUUGAAGAUGCAAUAUGAAGCUGCAAGUGUUUCAUAGAGUCUCCUCGCUCUUGUCCUUUGAGGUUUUAUUUUAACAGAGGAGUAGGUGUUGUAUUUGGGUUUAUAUGACUUCUUAUGUAUAAGAAUUACUAUUAAUAAUACUUAUAUGAUUUUUAUUAUUAUUUGCAA